RNAcentral lists this ribosomal RNA (651 nucleotides) under Monacha cartusiana. RNAcentral describes it as "12S ribosomal RNA". Lineage: Eukaryota; Metazoa; Mollusca; Gastropoda; Stylommatophora; Hygromiidae. The record is from RNAcentral.
CCACAAAUGGUAAAACCUUUAAGGAAAUAUUUUGUUACGAUUCCCAAUUUGUUUUACAUUUUUUAACUAUGGAAUUUAAAGAGUUGCCAGUUACGAGCUUUUCCUAGGUUGAGAAAUCAAGCUUAAGAAAUUGUAUUAUUUAAGGCUAAUAUAGUGCCAGCAGCCGCGGUCAUACUAUUUUUAAUAAGCAAAUAGGUUUAGUAGUUAUUAUUUUAUUACAAAAUAUAGAUUAUGGUGAAAUAUAUAUAUAUUUCUCCCAAAAAUAAUAUAAGCUAAACGAACUCCUAAACCAAACAAGGAUUAGAUACCCUUCUAUGAGGAGCAAAGAAAUAAUUACUGGGCAUUAAACUAUUACACACCUAAACCCAAAUAACAUGGCGGUAAUUUUAAUAUUUAGGGGAACUUACCUAAUAAAUGAUAACCACCAAGGAAACUCUACUCUUAGUAAUAUUUUGUAUGCCGUCGUCUAAGUCUAAUUAAAUAUUAGACUGUAAUUCUAUAAUAAUAAGACAGAUCAAGGUGCAGACUAUCUUAGAGUUAAGGCGAGUUACAAUAGUAAAUUUCUUCUAUCAUUCUACCAAAAAGAACUACUAGAUGGACUUAAAAGUAAACAAAAUUACAAAUAUUCGUUGAAUUUAUAUAAAAUUGUGC